This 301-nucleotide ribosomal RNA is filed under the name uncultured bacterium. Its description in RNAcentral is "partial 16S ribosomal RNA". It matches the Rfam family "Bacterial small subunit ribosomal RNA", at positions 509 to 809 of the family's 1533-position model. The record is from RNAcentral.
CAGCAGCCGCGGGAAUACGUAGGUGGCAAGCGUUGUCCGGAAUUAUUGGGCGUAAAGGGCUCGCAGGCGGUUUCUUAAGUCUGAUGUGAAAGCCCCCGGCUCAACCGGGGAGGGUCAUUGGAAACUGGGAAACUUGAGUGCAGAAGAGGAGAGUGGAAUUCCACGUGUAGCGGUGAAAUGCGUAGAGAUGUGGAGGAACACCAGUGGCGAAGGCGACUCUCUGGUCUGUAACUGACGCUGAGGAGCGGAAGCGUGGGGAGCGAACAGGAUUAGAGACCCCUGUAGUCCCUGUCUCUUAUAA